Molecule: ribosomal RNA, 790 nt
Filed under: uncultured Gammaproteobacteria bacterium
Lineage: Bacteria; Pseudomonadati; Pseudomonadota; Gammaproteobacteria
Description: bacterial SSU rRNA
Rfam family: Bacterial small subunit ribosomal RNA
Source: RNAcentral
GCUAGUAGCGUCGUAGUGGCGGUAGGGUGAGUAACGCGUAGAAAUCUACCUGAUAGUGGGGGAUAGCCCAAAGAAAUUCGGAUUAAUACCGCAUAAUCUAUUCGUAGUAAAGUGGGGGACUUUCGAGCCUCACGCUAUCAGAUGAGCCUGCGUAAGAUUAGCUAGUUGGUAGGGUAAAAGCCUACCAAGGCGACGAUCCUUAGCCGGUCUGAGAGGAUGAUCAGCCACAUCGGGACUGAGACACGGCCCGAACUCCUACGGGAGGCAGCAGUGGGGAAUAUUGAACAAUGGGGGCAACCCUGAUCCAGCAAUACCGCGUGUGUGAAGAAGGCCUGAGGGUUGUAAAGCACUUUCAAUUGUGAAGAAAAGCUAGUGGUUAAUAGCCAUUAGCCUUGACGUUAACUUUAGAAGAAGCACCGGCUAACUCCGUGCCAGCAGCCGCGGUAAUACGGAGGGUGCAAGCGUUAAUCGGAAUUACUGGGCGUAAAGCGUGCGUAGGCGGUUUAUUAAGUCAGAUGUGAAAGCCCCGGGCUUAACCUGGGAACUGCAUUUGAAACUGGUCAACUAGAGUUAUGGUAGAGGAAAGUGGAAUUUCUGGUGUAGCGGUGAAAUGCGUAGAUAUCAGAAGGAACAUCAAUGGCGAAGGCAACUUUCUGGACCAAUACUGACGCUGAGGUACGAAAGCGUGGGUAGCAAACAGGAUUAGAUACCCUGGUAGUCCACGCCGUAAACGAUGAUAACUAGCCGUUGGGGGGAUUUACCCUUAGUGGCGAAGCUAACGCGUUAAGUU